This is a non-coding RNA of Triticum aestivum (bread wheat), 132 nucleotides long. Lineage: Eukaryota; Viridiplantae; Streptophyta; Magnoliopsida; Poales; Poaceae. The record is from Rfam.
AGGACAAGAUGCUAGCCAAGAACAACUUGCCGGGAAAUAUCAGCAUGGAUUCAAAGCAGGGGAUGCAUACCCUCACCAUGAAGCAUACAUGCACAUACCCGGCAAGUCAUCCUUGGCUACAUUCUGCCCUCU